CCCUACAUGAUUGAUUAGCUUGAUCUUUCCCUUGGCAACUCUCUGCUGGACAAUCAUAAACCAGUCUCAAUUUCUGACACUUGGGGCAUGUCUCAAUGUCAAUGGCACAAUCAUCAUCAGAAGAGAGAUAAAACCGUCCUAGAUGAUAAAACCGUGGUUUGUUUGCUUUCAGUUGCAUGUGUUUAUCUGCUCCAAGUAUGGACUUCAACUCUUCAAACUGCUUUUCUGUUAC
RNAcentral lists this unclassified non-coding RNA (232 nucleotides) under Hevea brasiliensis (rubber tree). Lineage: Eukaryota; Viridiplantae; Streptophyta; Magnoliopsida; Malpighiales; Euphorbiaceae. The record is from RNAcentral.